AUUUUUCUCCCUGCAUGGUUCCUUACUCAGUCACAUCAAACUAAACCCUUCAAUCUCAGUCACAUCAAACUAAACCCUUCAAUCGCUCAAUCAAUUUCUUGAUAAUUUCUUGAUCUCGUCCUAUCUUUUACGUUGGAACUUCUAGUGUAUGAUUACUUGGUUAAGAGAAAAUUGACUGAUACUGCUAGCAGCUUCGUGAGGGAAGCUAAUUUUCAGCCUACUAAUUUUGACGACGGUCCUCCAGAAGGUCGUCUGGCACAGAUAUGGAACGUUAUGCAUGAUACGGUCACUAGCAUUGGAGAGCCUAGGGAACAAGGUACUGCAAACUAUUCAUUGCCAAAUGCUGGGGCUUCAGUAGCACAACAGGAGGGGGGUCAACCUACAUUGGAGCCUCAACUUGGCACUUGAGAACUACAAUUUUCUUGACGAUUUUCCCAUUACAGCAAUAGACACAAGCUUGAACUUGGAUGACAUUCAUGAAGAAUUUCCUGAAGUAGACUCAGCCUUUUUGGAUGAGGGUGAUAUUCCUGACAUUGCCGCCACAGCUGAGCAAGAGGAGUCUCCAGAGUCUGCUGAGCAAGAAGAGUCUGCAGAGUCGGCUGAGCAAGAAGAGUCUUCAGAGUCUGCUGAGCAAGAAGAGUCUUCAGAGUCUGCUGAGCAAGAAGAGUCUUCAGAGUCUGCUGAGCAAGAAGAGUCUCCAGAGCCUCCUUCACGACCUAAGCGGGCUAUAGUGAGGCCGGCCCGAUACAGGGGCUAUGUUUGUUGAAUUUUUGUAUUCUGACAAGAAGCAUUUGUGAAUGAUGUUUGUUGUUUAGGAAAAUAUUGUUUGUUGUAUAUUUGUAGAAGAUAUUCUGACUAGAAGCAUUUGUGAUGGAUUGUUGUUUAGGAAAAUAAUGUUUGUUGAAUUUUUGUAGAAGAUAUUAUGACUAGAAGCAUUUGUGAUGGAUUGUUGUUUAGGAAAAUAAUGUUUGUUGAAUUUUUGUAGAGGAUAU
Molecule: long non-coding RNA, 992 nt
Organism: Salvia hispanica
Lineage: Eukaryota; Viridiplantae; Streptophyta; Magnoliopsida; Lamiales; Lamiaceae
Source: RefSeq, a predicted model, not a curated record